Molecule: small nuclear RNA, 104 nt
Filed under: Mesocricetus auratus (golden hamster)
Lineage: Eukaryota; Metazoa; Chordata; Mammalia; Rodentia; Cricetidae
Description: U2 spliceosomal RNA
Rfam family: U2 spliceosomal RNA
About the family: U2 is a small nuclear RNA (snRNA) component of the spliceosome (involved in pre-mRNA splicing). Complementary binding between U2 snRNA (in an area lying towards the 5' end but 3' to hairpin I) and the branchpoint sequence (BPS) of the intron results the bulging out of an unpaired adenosine, on the BPS, which initiates a nucleophilic attack at the intronic 5' splice site, thus starting the first of two transesterification reactions that mediate splicing.
Source: Rfam by way of RNAcentral
AGACUUGCUUCCUUUUGGCUAAGAUCAAGUGUAGUAUCUGUUCUUAUCAGUUUAUUAUCUAAUGUGUCCUCUAUCCACUAUAUUUAUAAGAUCUAAAAAUAUAC